AUAGCUGAUGUUAGCAAUGAAGUGGUACCAAAAUAACAUAAAACUAUUAUUACACUGGAAGGAACUCUCAUGGACGACGUCUUACUUCUU
Molecule: long non-coding RNA, 90 nt
Organism: Etheostoma cragini (Arkansas darter)
Lineage: Eukaryota; Metazoa; Chordata; Actinopteri; Perciformes; Percidae
Exons: 3
Source: RefSeq, a predicted model, not a curated record